Molecule: long non-coding RNA, 667 nt
Organism: Oncorhynchus keta (chum salmon)
Lineage: Eukaryota; Metazoa; Chordata; Actinopteri; Salmoniformes; Salmonidae
Exons: 3
Source: RefSeq, a predicted model, not a curated record
UCUAUUCCGUUUGUUUUGUUGCUGUUACACGUGUGUUUUGUAGCCUAAGAGAGUUUACCCAGGAUCGGAUCCACUCUUUGCGUCCCUGGACUACACCUCUCCGUUCUUCGUGGCCUUUCUCCGCUGGAGAUCUGUUGGCGGAUUGGAUUGUCUGACUGACCGACUGACUACCACCUUUUUGUAUACGCGUGCACCUUUUGGUGUAUGCUUUGUACUUAGGCCCCUGCAAAGGAAGGAGGGAGACGGGACUAGUGUGACAGUUAUGGAGAAGACCAAAAGAAUGUGGAGGGGAGCAUGACAGAGUUAGAGCAAGGACCAAUGGAAGGUGGUCGGUGGCGAGUGAUGGUGUAUCUGAUUGGCUGUGGCAGCGGUAAUGGAGACAGUUGCCAACCUCUGCACCCUUGAUUGCUGACCCACAUCAGGUACCCAACAACAUCAGCAGAGGAACACUGAUGCCUUGUGCCAAAUCUGCAGACUUGUCGAGAGAACAUUUGGGCUUCUGAAGUUGAGGUUCAGAUGUCUGGACCACUCAGGAGGUGCCCUACAGUACUCGUCCACUCAGGAGGUGCCCUACAGUACUCGUCCACUCAGGAGGUGCCCUUACAGUACUCGUCCACUCAGGAGGUGCCCUACAGUACUCGUCCACUCAGGAGGUGCCCUACAGUAC